UGGGGAAUCUUGCGCAAUGGGCGAAAGCCUGACGCAGCGACGCCGCGUGGGGGAAGAAGGCUUUCGGGUUGUAAACCCCUUUCAGGAGGGACGAAGCCACUCGGGUGAAUAGCCCAGAGGGUGACGGUACCUCCAGAAGAAGCCCCGGCUAACUACGUGCCAGCAGCCGCGGUAAUACGUAGGGGGCAAGCGUUGUCCGGAUUUAUUGGGCGUAAAGAGCGUGUAGGCGGCCAUGUAGGUCCGUUGUGAAAACUCGAGGCUCAACCUCGAGACGCCGAUGGAAACCAUGUGGCUAGAGUCCGGAAGAGGAGAGUGGAAUUCCUGGUGUAGCGGUGAAAUGCGCAGAUAUCAGGAAGAACACCCGUGGCUUAAGGCGGCUCUCUAGUACGGUACUGACGCUGAGACGCGAAAGCGUGGGGAGCGAACA
RNAcentral lists this ribosomal RNA (427 nucleotides) under uncultured Actinomycetes bacterium. RNAcentral describes it as "bacterial SSU rRNA". It matches the Rfam family "Bacterial small subunit ribosomal RNA", at positions 355 to 774 of the family's 1533-position model. The record is from RNAcentral. Lineage: Bacteria; Bacillati; Actinomycetota; Actinomycetes.